AUCCCAGAGUCUUAUUCUCGACGAUUGAUCGUCUGUUAAACCCAGGUAACUCAAAGGAAUGCCUCCUAAGUACUUCCAGUAAAACCUGUGAGGCUAUUGCUGUAUUUUUCAAUCAAAAAAAUUAAUGAUAUUAGAAAUAACAUAGUAUAUCUCCCCAACACUGAGGAUCCUCCUAAACCCCAGCAUUCAGUUAUAAACAAAUUAAACUCUUUCACUAGGAUAGAUUAACCUGAUUUACAUAAAAUAAUUUCUCAACUGAAACCCUCCACCUGUGUCCUUGACCCAAUACCAACAAAUUUUUUCAAAGAAGUAUCGGGCGUGCUAAUUGAUAAUGUUCUUGACAUAGUAAAUUCGUCAUUAGAUACGGGUGUCUUCCCAGACUGUCUUAAGACUGCUGUAGUUAAACCCCUACUCAAGAAAAAUAAUCUUGACCCCUCUGCUUUUGAAAAUUUUAGACCCAUCUCUAACCUGCCUUUCUUAAGUAAAAUUCUAGAGAAGGCAGUCAUUAUGCAGUUAAAUGACCACCUCAAUAAACAUGUUAUUCUUGAUAAAUUUCAGUGAGGUUUUAGAACAAAUCACAGCACAGAAACUGCAUUCGUUAAAGUAGUAAAUGACUUGUGGGUAAAUGCAGACAGAGGUCAUUUAUCUGUUCUCAUCCUCUUAGAUCUGAGUGCCGCAUUUGACACCAUUGAUCACAAUAUUCUUAGAAAUCACCUUAGUCAAUGGGUGGGCCUCUCUGGCAGAGUCUUAAAUUGGUUUGAAUCCUACCUGGCAGGGAGAAAAUUUUUUGUUAGUUGUGGUAAUUACAACUGAAAGACACAUGAUAUCCUAUAUGGUGUUCCACAAGACUCUAUCCUGGGUCCGCUCCUUUUCUCAAUCUACAUGCUUCCGUUAGGUCAGAUUAUCUCAGGGCACAACGUGAGCUACCACAGCUAUGCUGAUGACACACAGCUGUAUUUAUCAAUAGCACCUGAUGACCCCGAUUCUCUUGAUUCACUAACACAAUGUCUUACUUGUAUUUCUGAAUGGAUGAAUAGUAAUUAUCUCAAGCUAAAUAAAGAGAAAACUGAAAUUUUAGUGAUUGGCAAUAAUGAAUACACUGAGGUUAUCAGAAAUAAACUUGAUGCAUUAGGAUUAAAAGUCAAGACAGAGGUAAAAAGCUUAGGGGUAACUUGACUGUAACCUGAAUUUUAAAUCGCAUAUUAAUCAGAUCACUAGGACAGCAUUUUUUCACUUAAGAAACAUAGCAAAAGUUAGACCUCUUAUAUCAUUGAAAGAUGCUGAGAAAUUAGUUCACGCGUUUGUUUUCAGUCGACUAGAUUACUGUAAAGCAUUCCUCUCAGGACUACCCAAAAAAGACAUAAAUCAUUUGCAACUAGUGCAGAAUGCAGCUGCUAGAAUCCUAACUAGGAAAAGAAAAUCCGAGCACAUUUCUCCAGUUUUGAUGUCACUACACUGGUUACCUGUGUCAUUCAGAAUUGACUUUAAAAUUCUGCUUAUGAUUUAUAAAGCCUUAAAUAAUUUCACCCCAUCCUAUAUAUCGGAAUGUCUGACAUCUUAUAUUCCAAAUCGUAACCUUAGAUCCUCAAAUGAGUGUCUCCUUAGAAUUCCAAGAGCAAAACUUAAAAGAAGUGGUGAAGCAGCCUUCUGCUGUUAUGCAACUAAAAUCUGGAAUAGCCUGCCAGUAGGAAUUCGCCAGGCUAAUACAGUGGAGCACUUUAAAAAACUACUGAAAACACAUUACUUUAACAUGGCCUUCUCAUAACUUCACUUUAAUUUAAUCCUGAUACUCUAUAUAUUCAAUUCAUUAUAAUAACUAUUCAUGGUGGCUCUAAAAUCCGUACUAACCCCUACUCUCUCUUCUGUUUCUUUUUCCGGUUUCUUUGUGGUGGCGGCCUGUGCCACCACCAUCUACUCAAAGCACCAUGAUGUUCCAACAUUGAUGGAUUAAAAGCCAGAAGUCUGCAUUACCUUCAUCAUCGAGAUGCCCGGUGGUAACCAGCCUUCCAUGUGGCUGAACAGAUGCCAGUGUACCCAAAUUCUGAGACACAACUGGAUGUUCUUUUCUUCUGCUUUUAAGAUUCCCAAUUCAAGAUGAUGUCCAGUUCAUGUUAGAUUUGCUAUUUCUACAGUUACAGUGAAGUAGAAGAGUCUGGUCAUGUUAUGGGGCAGCAGUUAAAAAAGAAGGAUGGAGAGAUGUGUGCCAUGUUGAAGUAGUGGGUGGCCCUCCUGCCCGGCACUUCUAGAAUCCUCCAUCUCAACCUCUGCUCUGAUCUGCUGUGCCUUUGCCAAGUGAUCAUGAGUUAAUUGCAGUGGUGCCCCCCUGCGUCUCCACCAUCUGUUACAUCAACUCCAACUGCCUGUGAUGCUAGAGAGAAGAAAAGUUCACAAGAUUUCCUGAAAUGGAAUUGUGAUUGGACUGAUACGGCCACAGUUAUGUAUGCUGUGAUGUACAGAGCAGGCUGUGUGGGCUUCGGCUUGGGACCCCCAUAGGUUUAUUAUCUCCAGCAUCUUUGAAAGCUGCAAGUUUGUCUUUGUCCCCGGCCAUUUGACCAGGUAGUGUAUUUAUUACAAAGGACAAGGACCUCUCCAUUUGUUUCUUAUUUACUUUUAUAAUGCCUUCAAUUUUCUUUGUAACUGUAUAUUUUUGUAGAGCAAUUUGAGCUACACUUGUAAGAAAAGGUGAUAUAGAAAUAUUA
Molecule: long non-coding RNA, 2699 nt
Organism: Erpetoichthys calabaricus (reedfish)
Lineage: Eukaryota; Metazoa; Chordata; Cladistia; Polypteriformes; Polypteridae
Exons: 5
Source: RefSeq, a predicted model, not a curated record